Molecule: ribosomal RNA, 286 nt
Filed under: uncultured diatom
Lineage: Eukaryota; Bacillariophyta
Description: partial 18S ribosomal RNA
Rfam family: Eukaryotic small subunit ribosomal RNA
Source: RNAcentral
CGUAUAUUAAAGUUGUUGCAGUUAAAAAGCUCGUAGUUGGAUUUGUGGCGUAUGGUGUGUUCCGGGCACUUGUUGUCUGAGUAACCUGCUGUUGCCAUCCUUGGGUGGAACCUGUGUGGCAUUAGGUUGUCGUGCAGGGGAUGCCCAUCAUUUACUGUGAAAAAAUUAGAGUGUUCAAAGCAGGCCUAUGCCGUUGAAUAUAUUAGCAUGGAAUAAUGAGACAGGACUUUUUUACUAUUUUGUUGGUUUGCGUAAAGAGGUAAUGAUUAAUAGGGACAGUUGGGGG